Molecule: long non-coding RNA, 626 nt
Organism: Pantherophis guttatus
Lineage: Eukaryota; Metazoa; Chordata; Lepidosauria; Squamata; Colubridae
Source: RefSeq, a predicted model, not a curated record
CAAUUAAUGAUAGAAGAAAAGAAGGAUAGUAAUUCAGGAAACGAGUUCGUAUAAGCAUGCUCCUCAGCAAGCAGUUGUUAAUACUAACCCCGACACAAAGACAUCUAAUAGGAACUUCUGACUGAGGGAACAGCAGUUAUCUCUUUUGGCCUGGUGGAAAUGAAGAAGCAGAAAAAGAACAAAAGGAGCAGGAAAAGAGGCAAGGGAGGAAGCAUAUUACAAAGGCUCAGGAAGUAUGGGAUUGGAAUAUUUUUGAAGCUACCUCUGAAGACUUGGAUGAACUCACAGAUACUGUGACAUCAUAUUCAGUUUUUGUGAAGACCUGUGUGUGCCAACUAGAAAACUGUGAAUAAACAGUAACAACAAACCUUGGUUCACAGCUAAACUCAAACAGCUACGUCAUGCCAAAAAGGAAGCCUACAGAAAAGGACUUGUAUUAAUAAGGGAGAUCAAAGCAGCAAAAAAAAAAAAAGCUACUCUGAAAAGCUGAGGAAUCAGCUCUCAACAAAUGAACCAGCAAAUGUGUGGAAAACCCUUAAAGACAUCACUGGCUACAGCAAACCUCCUUUUCAUCCUGAAGGAAAUUGACAAUUUAAUUUAUUUUUAACUUUUAUAUCGUAUGUUAU